AACGAACGCUGGCGGCAUGCCUAACACAUGCAAGUCGAACGAGACCGUCGGGUCUAGUGGCGCACGGGUGCGUAACGCGUGGGAACCUGCCCUUAGGUUCGGAAUAACUCCCCGAAAGGGGUGCUAAUACCGGUUAAUCUCUUCGGGCCAAAGAUUUAUCGCCUUUGGAUGGGCCCGCGUUGGAUUAGCUAGUUGGUAGGGUAAAAGCCUACCAAGGCGACGAUCCAUAGCUGGUCUGAGAGGAGGAUCAGCCACACUGGGACUGAGACACGGCCCAGACUCCUACGGGAGGCAGCAGUGGAGAAUAUUGGACAAUGGGCGAAAGCCUGAUCCAGCAAUGCCGCGUGAGUGAUGAAGGCCUUAGGGUUGUAAAGCUCUUUUACCCGGGAUGAUAAUGACAGUACCGGGAGAAUAAGCACCGGCUAACUACGUG
RNAcentral lists this ribosomal RNA (433 nucleotides) under uncultured bacterium. RNAcentral describes it as "partial 16S ribosomal RNA". It matches the Rfam family "Bacterial small subunit ribosomal RNA", at positions 29 to 507 of the family's 1533-position model. The record is from RNAcentral.